GGGGAGGGGAAGUAGACUGGAAACGGUAGCUAAUACCGCAUAACGUCGCAAGACCAAAAGAAGGGGGGACCGUUCGGGCCUCUUGCCAUCGGAUGUGCCCAGAUGGGAUUAGCUAGUAGGUGGGGUAACGGCUCACCUAGGCGACGAUCCCUAGCUGGUCUGAGAGGAUGACCAGCCACACUGGAACUGAGACACGGUCCAG
This 202-nucleotide ribosomal RNA is filed under the name uncultured bacterium. RNAcentral describes it as "partial 16S ribosomal RNA". It matches the Rfam family "Bacterial small subunit ribosomal RNA", at positions 135 to 334 of the family's 1533-position model. The record is from RNAcentral.